AGCGAACGCUGGCGGCAGGCCUAACACAUGCAAGUCGAACGAACCUUUCGGGGUUAGUGGCGGACGGGUGAGUAACACGUGGGAACGUGCCUUUAGGUUCGGAAUAACUCAGGGAAACUUGUGCUAAUACCGAAUGUGCCCUUCGGGGGAAAGAUUUAUCGCCUUUAGAGCGGCCCGCGUCUGAUUAGCUAGUUGGUUGAGGUAAUGGCUCACCAAGGCGACGAUCAGUAGCUGGUCUGAGAGGAUGAUCAGCCACAUUGGGACUGAGACACGGCCCAAACUCCUACGGGAGGCAGCAGUGGGGAAUCUUGCGCAAUGGGCGAAAGCCUGACGCAGCCAUGCCGCGUGAAUGAUGAAGGUCUUAGGAUUGUAAAAUUCUUUCACCGGGGACGAUAAUGACGGUACCCGGAGAAGAAGCCCCGGCAAACUUCGUG
RNAcentral lists this ribosomal RNA (434 nucleotides) under uncultured bacterium. Its description in RNAcentral is "partial 16S ribosomal RNA". It matches the Rfam family "Bacterial small subunit ribosomal RNA", at positions 29 to 507 of the family's 1533-position model. The record is from RNAcentral.